RNAcentral lists this ribosomal RNA (1244 nucleotides) under metagenome. Its description in RNAcentral is "bacterial LSU rRNA". It matches the Rfam family "Bacterial large subunit ribosomal RNA", at positions 1564 to 2816 of the family's 2925-position model. The record is from RNAcentral.
UGAAUACGAGACGCUAAGGCGUCGAAGUAGUGUAUGUCAUACUUCCAAGAAAAGCUUGCACUGUCAUAAGUAAAAAAUGCCUGUACCAUAACCGACACAGGUGGGUAGGUAGAGUAUACUAAGGGGCGCGAGAUAACUCUCUCUAAGGAACUCGGCAAAAUAACUCCGUAACUUCGGGAGAAGGAGUACCAUAUUCUAUAAGGUUGCAAUAACAAGAUCCAAGCAACUGUUUAUCAAAAACACAGGUCUCCGCUAAGUCGUAAAACGAUGUAUGGGGGCUGACGCCUGCCCAGUGCCAGAAGGUUAAAGAAGUCGGUUAGCAUUAGCGAAGCUGGUAACUGAAGCCCUGGUGAACGGCGGCCGUAACAAUAACGGUCCUAAGGUAGCGAAAUUCCUUGUCGGGUAAGUUCCGACCCGCACGAAAGGCGUAAUGAUUUGGAUACUGUCUCGGAGAGGGGCUCGGUGAAAUAGACUUGUCUGUGAAGAUGCGGACUACCUGCACCAGGACAGAAAGACCCUAUGAAGCUUUACUGUAACUUGAAAUUGAAAUUGGACUUUAUUCGCGCAGUAUAGGUGGGAGGUGUUGAUUAUAAUCUUGCGGGAUUAUUGGAGCCAUCAGUGAGAUACCACUCUUGUAAUGUUAGAUUUCUAACUUUGAAUCAUUAUCUGGUCAAAGGACAGUUUCAGGCGGGCAGUUUGACUGGGGCGGUCGCCUCCCAAACGGUAACGGAGGCGUACAAAGGUUUCCUCUGAACGGGUAGAAAUCGUAUCUAGAGUGUAAAGGCAUAAGGAAGCUUGACUGUGAGACCUACAAGUCGAACAGGGACGAAAGUCGGUCUUAGUGAUCUGACGGUACUGAGUGGAAAGGCCGUCACUCAACGGAUAAAAGUUACUCUAAGGAUAACAGGCUGAUCUCCCCCAAGAGUUCACAUCGACGGGGAGGUUUGGCACCUCGAUGUCGGCUCAUCGCAUCCUGGGGCGGUAGUACGUCCCAAGGGUUGGGCUGUUCGCCCAUGAAAGCGGUACGCGAGCUGGGUUCAGAACGUCGUGAGACAGUUCGGUCCAUAUCCGGUGUAGGCGUUAGAAUAUUGAGAGGAGCCUUCUUUAGUACGAGAGGACCGAGAAGGACAUACCUCUGGUGUACCAGUUAUCGUGCCAACGGUAAACGCUGGGUAGCUAUGUAUGGAGUGGAUAACCGCUGAAAGCAUCUAAGUGGGAAGCCCACCUCAAGAUAAGUAUUCUCA